This 643-nucleotide ribosomal RNA is filed under the name uncultured Actinomycetes bacterium. RNAcentral's name for it is "bacterial SSU rRNA". It matches the Rfam family "Bacterial small subunit ribosomal RNA", at positions 232 to 886 of the family's 1533-position model. The record is from RNAcentral. Lineage: Bacteria; Bacillati; Actinomycetota; Actinomycetes.
CGCGGCCUAUCAGCUUGUUGGUGAGGUAACGGCUCACCAAGGCGACGACGGGUAGCCGGCCUGAGAGGGCGACCGGCCACACUGGGACUGAGAUACGGCCCAGACUCCUACGGGAGGCAGCAGUGGGGAAUAUUGCACAAUGGGCGAAAGCCUGAUGCAGCAACGCCGCGUGCGGGAUGACGGCCUUCGGGUUGUAAACCGCUUUCAGCAGGGACGAAGCUAACGUGACGGUACCUGCAGAAGAAGCGCCGGCUAACUACGUGCCAGCAGCCGCGGUGAUACGUAGGGUGCGAGCGUUGUCCGGAUUUAUUGGGCGUAAAGAGCUUGUAGGCGGUUUGUUGCGUCGGAAGUGAAAACUCAGAGCUUAACUCUGAGCCUGCUUUCGAUACGGGCAGACUUGAGGGAUGUAGGGGAGAACGGAAUUCCUGGUGGAGCGGUGGAAUGCGCAGAUAUCAGGAGGAACACCAGUGGCGAAGGCGGUUCUCUGGACAUUUCCUGACGCUGAGAAGCGAAAGCGUGGGGAGCAAACAGGCUUAGAUACCCUGGUAGUCCACGCCGUAAACGGUGGGCACUAGGUGUGGGACCCUUCCACGGGUUCCGUGCCGUAGCUAACGCAUUAAGCGCCCCGCCUGGGGAGUACGGA